AGUGAACGCUGGCGGCGUGCUUAACACAUGCAAGUCGAACGAGAACGGAUUAUAGCUUGCUAUAAUUGUCAGCUAAGUGGCGCACGGGUGAGUAAUGUAUAGGUAAUAUGCCUCUUACUAAGGGAUAACAAAUGGAAACGUUUGCUAAUACCUUAUACUCCUUAUUAACAUAAGUUAAUAAGGGAAAGAUUUAUUGGUAAGAGAUUAGCCUGUAUUGUAUCAGUUAGUUGGUGGGGUAAUGGCUUACCAAGACUAUGACACAUAACUGGUUUGAGAGGAUGAUCAGUCACACUGGAACUGAGACACGGUCCAGACUCCUACGGGAGGCAGCAGUGGGGAAUAUUGCACAAUGGACGAAGGUCUGAUGCAGCAACGCCGCGUGGAGGAUGACACAUUUCGGUGCGUAAACUCCUUUUAUAUGAGAAGAUAAUGACGGUAUUAUAUGAAUAAGCACCGGCUAACUCCGUGCCAGCCGCCGCGGAAA
This 484-nucleotide ribosomal RNA is filed under the name uncultured bacterium. Its description in RNAcentral is "partial 16S ribosomal RNA". It matches the Rfam family "Bacterial small subunit ribosomal RNA", at positions 29 to 523 of the family's 1533-position model. The record is from RNAcentral.